Molecule: unclassified non-coding RNA, 284 nt
Filed under: plant metagenome
Description: partial contains small subunit ribosomal RNA, internal transcribed spacer 1, and 5.8S ribosomal RNA
Rfam family: Eukaryotic small subunit ribosomal RNA (bases 1-53)
Source: RNAcentral
GGAAGUAAAGUCGUAACAAGGUUUCCGUAGGUGAACCUGCGGAAGGAUCAUUAUUGUAUAACCGAGGUGCGAGGGCUGUCGCUGACCCGAAAGGUCGUGCACGCCCGAGUGCCCUCACGCACAUCCAUCUCACCCCUAUGUGCACCACCGCGUGGGUCCCCCUUUGGCUUGUUCGGAGGGGGGCUUACGUUUUCACACAAACUUUGUAUGCAGUGUAGAAUGUAUUUUUUGUUUUUGCGAUCACGCAAUCAAUACAACUUUCAACAACGGAUCUCUUGGCUCUC